CCUACGGGAGGCAGCAGUAGGGAAUCUUCCACAAUGGGCGCAAGCCUGAUGGAGCAACGCCGCGUGAGUGAAGAAGGGUUUCGGCUCGUAAAGCUCUGUUGUUGGAGAAGAACGUGCGUGAGAGUAACUGUUCACGCAGUGACUAUAUCCAACAAGAAAGUCACGGCUAACUACGUGCCAGCAGCCGCUGUAAUACGUCGGUGGCAAGCGUUAUCCGGAUUUAUUGGGCGUAAAGCGAGCGCAGGCGGUUGCUUAGGUCUGAUGUGAAAGCCUUCGGCUUAACCUAAGAAGGGCAUAGGAAACGGGGAGACUUGAGUGCAGAAGAGGAAAGUGGAACUCGAGGUGUAGCGGUGGAAUGCGUAGAUAUAUGGAAGAACACCAGUGGCGAAGGCGGCUGUCUGGUCUGCAACUGACGCUGAGGCUCGAAAGUAUGGGUAGCGAACAGGAUUAGAUACCCGAGUAGUC
RNAcentral lists this ribosomal RNA (465 nucleotides) under uncultured bacterium. RNAcentral describes it as "partial 16S ribosomal RNA". It matches the Rfam family "Bacterial small subunit ribosomal RNA", at positions 338 to 795 of the family's 1533-position model. The record is from RNAcentral.